Molecule: transfer RNA, 70 nt
Filed under: Loxodonta africana (African savanna elephant)
Lineage: Eukaryota; Metazoa; Chordata; Mammalia; Proboscidea; Elephantidae
Rfam family: tRNA
About the family: Transfer RNA (tRNA) molecules are approximately 80 nucleotides in length.
Source: Rfam by way of RNAcentral
ACAGUGGUGGUCCAGUGGUAGAAUUCUCACUUUCCAUUGGGAGACCUGGGUUCGAUUCCCAGCCAAUGUA